RNAcentral lists this ribosomal RNA (774 nucleotides) under Apilactobacillus kunkeei. RNAcentral describes it as "bacterial SSU rRNA". It matches the Rfam family "Bacterial small subunit ribosomal RNA", at positions 56 to 789 of the family's 1533-position model. The record is from RNAcentral. Lineage: Bacteria; Bacillati; Bacillota; Bacilli; Lactobacillales; Lactobacillaceae.
UGCAGUCGAACGAGCUCUCCCAAAUUGAUUUUAUGCUUGCAUAAAUGAUUUUUGGAUUCGGAGCGAGUGGCGAACUGGUGAGUAACACGUGGGUAACCUGCCCCGAAGCGGGGGAUAACAUUUGGAAACAAGUGCUAAUACCGCAUAAUUAGUUGGAACCGCAUGGUUCCAACUUGAAAGAUGGCUCUGCUAUCACUUUGGGAUGGACCCGCGCCGUAUUAGUUAGUUGGUGAGAUAAAAGCCCACCAAGACGAUGAUACGUAGCCGACCUGAGAGGGUAAUCGGCCACAUUGGGACUGAGACACGGCCCAGACUCCUACGGGAGGCAGCAGUAGGGAAUCUUCCACAAUGGACGAAAGUCUGAUGGAGCAACGCCGCGUGAGUGAUGAAGGUUUUCGGAUCGUAAAACUCUGUUGUUAAAGAAGAACAAGUGUUAGAGUAACUGUUAACACUUUGACGGUAUUUAACCAGAAAGCCACGGCUAACUACGUGCCAGCAGCCGCGGUAAUACGUAGGUGGCAAGCGUUGUCCGGAUUUAUUGGGCGUAAAGCGAGCGCAGGCGGUUUUGUAAGUCUGCUGUGAAAGCCCUCAGCUCAACUGAGGAAGUGCAGUGGAAACUACAAAACUUGAGUACAGAAGAGGAAAGUGGAACUCCAUGUGUAGCGGUGAAAUGCGUAGAUAUAUGGAAGAACACCAGUGGCGAAGGCGGCUUUCUGGUCUGUUACUGACGCUGAGGCUCGAAAGCAUGGGUAGCGAACAGGAUUAGAUACCCUG